RNAcentral lists this ribosomal RNA (496 nucleotides) under uncultured bacterium. RNAcentral describes it as "partial 16S ribosomal RNA". It matches the Rfam family "Bacterial small subunit ribosomal RNA", at positions 28 to 506 of the family's 1533-position model. The record is from RNAcentral.
GAUGAACGCUGGCGGCGUGCCUAAUACAUGCAAGUCGAGCGAACGGACGAGAAGCUUGCUUCUCUGAUGUUAGCGGCGGACGGGUGAGUAACACGUGGAUAACCUACCUAUAAGACUGGGAUAACUUCGGGAAACCGGAGCUAAUACCGGAUAAUAUUUUGAACCGCAUGGUUCAAAAGUGAAAGACGGUCUUGCUGUCACUUAUAGAUGGAUCCGCGCUGCAUUAGCUAGUUGGUAAGGUAACGGCUUACCAAGGCAACGAUGCAUAGCCGACCUGAGAGGGGGAAGGGCCAAGCGGGAAUGGAAACACGGUCAGGAACCGAAGGGGGGGAAGCAGAGGGGAAGUUUGCACAAUGGGGGAAAGCCGGAGGGAGAAAGCGCGGGUGAGGGAAGAAGGGUUGCGGAUGGUAAAACUCUUUUAUUGGGGAAAAAAAUUUGUGUAAGUAAAUGGGAAGAUUUUAAGGGUACCGAAAAAGAAAGCCAGGGUAAACAAGGG